CGUACCGACCGAUGCUUGUCGUGAGAAGGAGGACUUGGUGGAGCUAGUGCUGUGCCAUCGUGGACCAGGCUCAGGGUAUGACCUGGACUCAAGGAGCCUCAAUUCCUCAAGGUCCCAGACUUCUAGUUUUUUUUUUUUUUUUACAAAAUCCUAUUUUUCAAAUUAUACAGCCCCCUCUGCUACAGUGUCCUCCUUCCAGAAAGAGCUCAUGGCACCUUCAGAUCAGAAAUUCUAGCAAAGGUGCAAAGUGAAAUAGCUUCAGCAAACACAGAUGAUGCCACCACCGCUGACGAUGAACAAGAAGAGGAAAA
This 311-nucleotide long non-coding RNA is filed under the name Rattus norvegicus (Norway rat). Its description in RNAcentral is "long non-coding RNA NONRATT024611". The record is from RNAcentral. Lineage: Eukaryota; Metazoa; Chordata; Mammalia; Rodentia; Muridae.